This 1607-nucleotide unclassified non-coding RNA is filed under the name Bombus terrestris (buff-tailed bumblebee). RNAcentral describes it as "misc RNA ENSBTSG00005032438.1". The record is from RNAcentral. Lineage: Eukaryota; Metazoa; Arthropoda; Insecta; Hymenoptera; Apidae.
UACACUGCUCGCCCCACCAUUCGCCGCCGGAGGCGCCCGAGCUAUGACGAGCGUGCUCGAGCGACGCCGAGGUCGAGCGAGCAACGCGCAUGGCGAAGCCACCAGUCACCUGUCGUCUCUUCUCCUUCUUGUAGAUCGCUUAGUGCAGUACAUCGUGAAACGCUACCAAUUUUAUACAUCACACUCCCAAGCGUCGCGUCGUGCAGAUAAAACUACAUGGCCGAUUUUUGUGUUCUCUAACCUUAACCCGAUGUAAGAAUUUGUGCUCCUGGUGAUAUGUUGCUUCAUGUUCGAACUACGGACUCAAGAAACCUUUCAUGUUCGUGUAUCUACGUUGAACAUUAAUAUCCCGUGAUCGAUUAGAUUUCAAAAUGUCAAACUUUUGCUAAGAGUAAUUGAACGUUUGACGUUUAACUCAUGACGCAUAUUUACGGUCUCUGUUAUGAAUCAGCUGAUAGUGCAAGAGUGCCGUUUGUCAAAAGAUGAAUCUUUCAUAACUAGUUGAUCAUUAUCAUAAAACAAUGUGUUUACGAAGAUAAAAUACGAUAUUGAUAAAAUUGUAAUAGACAUCGAUUGUGCUUUGUAAAUUUUAAUCAUUACGUUUAAUAAAAUAUUUGGAAAUAAUGAUUUGCAAUUAAUUGGUUGAAACUUAUGCAACGGAAUCACAUGGCGUACGGCCAUUACGAGAAAUCAGUUUGUGCGAAUUAUACACACGUCAUUAAUCGCUGGAAAUCCUUUUCUGCCAGGCCGAUCAAUGACUAUAAAAACUAUAUUACGUGAAUUUUUACCUUAAUUUAUAAACAUUGUUUGAUAUGACUGAACAAACGGCAAUACGAUGGAGCUGAGAAAUAGAUCCGCUAAUUCAUCCGUUAACUGGGUUUCGAAUCGAGAUGGGUUCUCUGUAAAAAUUGUAUGAUCAUACAUCUAUCCAAUAUUUAUACGUUAUCACGCUUCUUUAAAUAUAUCUUUGAGAAAGAACAGAAUCUUACCGAUGUUCUAGCACUAAUUAGUGAUCGUAUGACGGAAGAAAUAACACUUUUAUCACACUCGGAAUUAUAAUUGACAUGGCGCGGUCAACGAACCGAAUCGAAAAUUGCACUGCGCAGCCAAACUUAAAAUUGGAGGGAAAACUGUUCUGACGAUAGCGCCACUAACCACCUUCGCUAUCUAGUUAUAGAUGUAGGAACUACGAUGAUUUUUCUCUUGUGCCCAAAAUCACGUAUGCAAAUUUUUCGACGUUGAGAUUAUCUUGGACUAAUUGGACUUUAAAAUUCAGUGCCCUUUUCGUUCUGUGUUAUUCGGUUCGAAAAUUCAUAUCUCUCGUAAUAACCGUUCUACACAUCUUUAAUCGUAUUUACGAAUUUUAUUCGAGCUUGUGCAUAGUGUAAGAAAGUAUUCGAAAUUGCGACCGCUUGUGAAUCAGGUUAUGAUUAACGUUGCAACUCAAACUGGCAAAACGAACUUGACAAGCUUUGCUAUUUAAGCAAUAUAGGGAGAUACGCAGAAUUCUUUCCAGAUAUUAAACAUGUACAUUAUCGCAUACGUUUAAACGACCAAUCGUUUAUCAAUUUUAUAUCCAGUUUUAUGCUCGUAAUUAUCUAAACUGG